ACGAAGGGGGCUAGCGUUGUUCGGAAUUACUGGGCGUAAAGCGCGCGCAGGCGGUCUUCCAAGUCAGUGGUGAAAGCCCGGAGCUCAACUCCGGAACUGCCAUUGAAACUGUAAGACUUGAGGAUGAGAGAGGUGAGUGGAAUUCCCAGUGUAGAGGUGAAAUUCGUAGAUAUUGGGAAGAACACCGGUGGCGAAGGCAGCUCACUGGCUCAUAUCUGACGCUCAGGCGCGACAGCGUGGGGAUCAAACAGGAUUAGAUACCCUGGUAGUCCACGCCGUAAACGAUGAAUGCUAGCCGUUGGGCAGCUUGCUGUUCAGUGGCGCAGCUAACGCAUUAAGCAUUCCGCCUGGGGAGUACGGCCGCAAGGUUG
RNAcentral lists this ribosomal RNA (371 nucleotides) under uncultured organism. Its description in RNAcentral is "bacterial SSU rRNA". It matches the Rfam family "Bacterial small subunit ribosomal RNA", at positions 525 to 896 of the family's 1533-position model. The record is from RNAcentral.